UGCAUAGUUCCCAUAAACUGGCGGGUUUUGGCUUCCGAUCUGAUGUUUGUGAUCGUUGUUGAUUUUGUAGCUUAUGAUGUCGUUAGGUGGAUCAUAUCUGUUUACUAGUUUGUUUUCACCUAUGUUUGUAGCUUCUUUCGACUUUUUAUGCAAUUUGCUGUUUUGAGUUGUUCUAAAUAGAUUUAGUAACACUUUCUCAUUGUUUUGUUUCAUUACACCGUUGAACUUUGAUGGCUGCAGCCAGUAAAUUUGAAACGAAUUCUCUGUGCUCCACGCUCGUAUUCUUUGUUAUUGGGAGAGUAGAAGAUGAUGCUCUUGAGUAUCAUUCAGAGUCAACGACUAAUGACUAUUGCAGUCCUGUGUUAAGUCUAAGUAAAUAAGAGAGAAAGAGAUUGCAUACUAAAUCAGCUUUAACUAACUCUGAGUCUCUGUCUGUGUGUGUCUUAACAUAUUGUAUUUAGGAUUUGAACAGAGUGGAGCCUUCUUGGCCUAUUACUAUCCUCACAAACAGAUUAUUGAAUAGGUGUGGUUUUAUAUGGCAGGUAUUCUUCACUGGUGUUUCACAAAUUUUCUGAGGGUAAAGACAUGUUUAUCCAAAUUGUGUUCAUGAAGACAGACCUUAGUCUCUCUGUAAUAGUUACUGACGUUCUAAGAUCUUAGAUUUCUUAUCUAAGAUCCAACCAAGAGUGAAACACUGCCUUGGGAAACUAUUUUAUAUUAGCUGCAAGUGAUAUUGAGUAGUCAGCAUUUCAAUAAUCAAAGAUCACAAUGCUGAAUUCAUGGCAGGUGUAGGAGAUCUAGUUAGAAAUUUACACAAAAACAGGCUUUUUUCCCUUCGUGUAGUUUUUUCUCAUUUCAUGUUUUCUUUUAACAAAGUUUCUUAAUUUUGCCUUUUUUCCUGUCUCUUGGCUUUAGUAGAAUGUAGUUUUUUCACUUUACAAGUUUCAUUUUGCUAGCAUAGAUUCAUGAUUCAUCCUUUGAUUACUUAAAUUCAUAGUAUUUUUUAGAAAACUGCAACCCCCCCCCCCCCCCCAAAAUAUUUUAUUAUUUCNNNNNNNNNNNNNNNNNNNNNNNNNNNNNNNNNNNNNNNNNNNNNNNNNNNNNNNNNNNNNNNNNNNNNNNNUCCUGCUGCGUCCAGUGCGUGUAUGUGUUAAUGGUCGGUGGAGAUACCCUUUUGUUCUCGUAUCCAAGUUUUCCACUUGCUUGUUACAGUUGUUACCAAACCAAUAUUUAUCCAUUUAACGCUUUCUUUACGCGGAACGUUGUUGGUACCUUCGGAGGCAACUUUUGUGAUGAAAAGCAACCAAAAGUAGAGGGAGCAAGAUUAUACUAUAAUAAUGCAAAAUAUUUAAUUGAUUUACCAGCUACGAAUGCUAUUUUCACCAACUAAUUUAGCUUUUAUUCCCUUUUCGUGUAUGUUUAUUAGAUAUAUAAACAAGUUACAUAAUAAUUAGUCGACAAAAAGUUGUCCGUGCCUGCUGCCAGGUGCAAUAAUUAUGCGAUUAGUUGGUUUGACAUGUGCUCGCACCAUUAAUUCCAAUUGCAUGCUAUUAUUUACCAAUCAAAAACAAGAGAACAUGACACUGAUAAAACAAACUAAAAUAAAAUAUUCAGAAGAAGAAACUAAUCUCUAAUUAACUGGAUUUUCAAGUUAUCAUGAGUCAAAAAUACAGCAUAUAAAUAAUAUAUAUCAUAUGUUUAUUAGCCAUUAAUUGAGAAAAACACAUAAAAUACAGAUAAGCCAAGGACACUAUUGGAAUUAUCUUAUAAAACUCCAAAGCCAUUUCAAGCCCCUUUUAUUUUGUCACACCACACAAGUCGCCCUUUGGUAGAGAGAGAGAGAGAGAGAGAGGCCAACGACCACAGAUAACAAACCCAUACCGUAACACCAUGAGCCCUUCCAAGCAGCGACAUCAUCGCAGCUCCACCGGCGAUACCAAGUCAAAACCGUUAAGAUCCGCCUCCUCCUCCGCUACACCGGAAUGGAUCGCAGAAGCAAUCAACGGCGGCUCCCUCCGCCGCGUAGAUCCCGAAACAGGCACCGACGGAUGGGCUUCGCCUCCCGGCGACGUCUUCUCUCUCCGCUCCGACUCCUACUUAACUAAAAAACAAAAAUCCCCCGCCGGAGAUUACCUCCUCUCCCCCGCCGGCAUGGACUGGCUCAAAUCGACCUCGAAACUAGACAAUGUCCUCGCGCGUCCCGAUAACCGCGUGGCUCACGCGCUAAGAAAAGCUCAAUCACGAGGCCAAUCUCUCAAGUCCUUCAUCUUCGCCGUGAACCUCCAGAUCCCGGGGAAAGACCACCACAGCGCGGUGUUCUACUUCGCCGCGGAGGAGCCGAUCCCCUCAGGAUCACUCCUCCACCGGUUUAUAAACGGCGACGACUCGUUCCGGAACCAGAGGUUCAAGAUCGUGAACCGGAUCGUGAAAGGGCCAUGGGUGGUUAAAGCCGCCGUCGGGAACUACGGCGCGUGCCUCCUCGGGAAGGCGCUGACGUGCAAUUACCACAGAGGCGAUAACUACUUCGAGAUCGACGUCGAUAUAUGCAGCUCGGCGAUCGCGACGGCGAUUCUGCGGCUGGCGCUGGGGUACGUGACGAGCGUGACGAUCGACAUGGGGUUCCUGGCGGAAGCGCAGACGGAGGAGGAGCUGCCGGAGAGGUUGAUCGGAGCUGUGAGGGUUUGUCAGAUGGAAAUGUCGUCGGCGUUUGUGGUCGACGCGCCGCCGCCUCAGCAACUGGCGUUGCAGCCGUGUAGAACGCUGAGUUUGGCGAAAGUUAACCACGACUUUGUUUUCACCUAUGUUUGUAGCUUCUUUCGACUUUUUAUGCAAUUUGCUGUUUUGAGUUGUUCUAAAUAGAUUUAGUAACACUUUCUCAUUGUUUUGUUUCAUUACACCGUUGAACUUUGAUGGCUGCAGCCAGUAAAUUUGAAACGAAUUCUCUGUGCUCCACGCUCGUAUUCUUUGUUAUUGGGAGAGUAGAAGAUGAUGCUCUUGAGUAUCAUUCAGAGUCAACGACUAAUGACUAUUGCAGUCCUGUGUUAAGUCUAAGUAAAUAAGAGAGAAAGAGAUUGCAUACUAAAUCAGCUUUAACUAACUCUGAGUCUCUGUCUGUGUGUGUCUUAACAUAUUGUAUUUAGGAUUUGAACAGAGUGGAGCCUUCUUGGC
RNAcentral lists this long non-coding RNA (3168 nucleotides) under Brassica napus (rape). RNAcentral describes it as "long non-coding RNA (BNAP_LNC012665)". Lineage: Eukaryota; Viridiplantae; Streptophyta; Magnoliopsida; Brassicales; Brassicaceae. The record is from RNAcentral.